RNAcentral lists this transfer RNA (76 nucleotides) under Oscillospiraceae bacterium. RNAcentral's name for it is "tRNA-Gln". It matches the Rfam family "tRNA". Rfam says of the family: Transfer RNA (tRNA) molecules are approximately 80 nucleotides in length. Their secondary structure includes four short double-helical elements and three loops (D, anti-codon, and T loops). Lineage: Bacteria; Bacillati; Bacillota; Clostridia; Eubacteriales; Oscillospiraceae. The record is from RNAcentral.
UGGGCUAUAGCCAAGCGGUAAGGCAACGGGCUUUGACUCCGUCAUUUCCCUGGUUCGAAUCCAGGUAGCCCAACCA